Molecule: small RNA, 575 nt
Filed under: Oryza sativa Japonica Group (Japanese rice)
Lineage: Eukaryota; Viridiplantae; Streptophyta; Magnoliopsida; Poales; Poaceae
Description: sRNA Os01g0881950
Source: RNAcentral
CAUUCUGCCCUCAUUUAUUUUCUGAAAUUGCAUCCUGGGAAUAGGCAUCCAAUCAAAAGGCAUUUUAUUCCCCCUACGAACUCAAAUCGUUGAAACGGUUCGGCCGCCUAAUGAUGACCCAGAAUUUCAGACUUCCCAUUCAACAGAAUGCUGGUUCCAUUGCCAACUUGUAGAGGAUGGAAAAGGACGGCAGACAGCAAUCCACAGGUCAAUUCAUUCCCUAUAAGCAUGAAUCUCUUUUUAAUCAGAAGUUUUUUUUUUUAAUUUCUUCUGUAAGUUAGUGAUUGGAAUGGCCCCAUAAACUAUAUUCUGCAGAAACCUGUUCAGCUGGGAUCAAAAGCAGAUGUCAGCAUUUUAGAUGGCUCAUAUCCUUAUCUGAUUAGUACUUAUUUUCACCUAAAAACGGCAACGGAUGGAGAAACUGAAGGAAAACAGCUGCCUAGAUUGCAUAUCUUUAUAUUAGCAGAAACUAAACUGCUGAGUUACAUAUAUGCUAAUAAAAUGGUCACAACAUAGCACGGCUCACUCUUCUUUCGUACUCUACAGAUCACACUCUUCACCUACACAGUAGCCCC